UUAGCAUAUAGUGCCAACAGUGAAACUACUUCGUGGAACAAUUAGAAUUUCACAUGUGUAACUUAAGUAUUUAAGUACAUCAUCUAAACACUCUUUUAAGAAAAAAAAUGUUUGAUAAAAAAAUAUAUCUAUUUUUAAAUUGUUACUAGGGUCAUUUAGGUGAUUAUUGAUAUAAAAAAAAAAGAAUGGAAGAAUUUAUGCUGAUUGGAGUGAUGGUCAAAGGUGGCGUCAGGUGGUCAGAGGUGGUGGUCGUUGGUGGUGGCCGGUGGUCGUUGGGCUGACAGUAAUGGUGACCGGUGGUCGGAGAUGGUGGUGGCCGUUGGUGGAGGAUGUGGUGACUGGAAAUGGUGACCGGUGGCCGCGGG
Molecule: long non-coding RNA, 365 nt
Filed under: Capsella rubella
Lineage: Eukaryota; Viridiplantae; Streptophyta; Magnoliopsida; Brassicales; Brassicaceae
Description: long non-coding RNA (CRUB_LNC003021)
Source: RNAcentral